CCAGAGAACUUAGCAGAGAUGCUUUGGUGCCUUCGGGAACUCUGAGACAGGUGCUGCAUGGCUGUCGUCAGCUCGUGUUGUGAAAUGGUUGGGUUAAGUCCCGCAACGAGCGCAACCCUUAUCCUUUGUUGCCAGCGGCUCGGCCGGGAACUCAAAGGAGACUGCCGGUGAUAAACCGGAGGAAGGUGGGGAUGACGUCAAGUCAUCAUGGCCCUUACGGCCAGGGCUACACACGUGCUACAAUGGCGCAUACAAAGAGAAGCGACCUCGCGAGAGCAAGCGGACCUCAUAAAGUGCGUCGUAGUCCGGAUUGGAGUCUGCAACUCGACUCCAUGAAGUCGGAAUCGCUAGUAAUCGUAGAUCAGAAUGCUACGGUGAAUACGUUCCCGGGCCUUGUACACACCGCCCGUCACACCAUGGGAGUGGGUUGCAAAAGAAGUAGGUAGCUUAACCUUCGGGAGGGCGCUUACCACUUUGUGAUUCAUGACUGGGGUGAAGUCGUAACAAGGUAGGCGUAGCGAG
This 522-nucleotide ribosomal RNA is filed under the name uncultured bacterium. Its description in RNAcentral is "bacterial SSU rRNA". It matches the Rfam family "Bacterial small subunit ribosomal RNA", at positions 988 to 1509 of the family's 1533-position model. The record is from RNAcentral.